Molecule: ribosomal RNA, 86 nt
Filed under: Algoriella sp.
Lineage: Bacteria; Pseudomonadati; Bacteroidota; Flavobacteriia; Flavobacteriales; Weeksellaceae
Source: RNAcentral
CUCACCUCUUCCCAUUCCGAACAGAGAAGUUAAGCCUGCCUGCGCCGAUGGUACUGCUAUUGCGGGAGAGUAGGUCGUCGCCAGUU